This 237-nucleotide unclassified non-coding RNA is filed under the name uncultured Alistipes sp. Its description in RNAcentral is "partial contains 16S ribosomal RNA, 16S-23S ribosomal RNA intergenic spacer, and 23S ribosomal RNA". The record is from RNAcentral. Lineage: Bacteria; Pseudomonadati; Bacteroidota; Bacteroidia; Bacteroidales; Rikenellaceae.
CUGGAACACCUCCUUUCUGGAGCUUUAUUUCAAAGGUAAGCUGCUUGAUUCUUCAAAGAAAGUUCUAACAGCACACGCGUAAGGCGUAGCAGAGCGAAACUGCGGUGCUGUUCAACGCAAACUUCGGGUUUGCAUCGUUCAUUGACACGAUUAAGGAGAUGAGAUAUAGGCUAUGCAUAUACAAUAGGGUAUGCAUAGCGGAAAAAGAAAGUAAGUAAGGGCGCACGGUGGAUGNNU